AUUGAACGCUGGCGGCAGGCCUAACACAUGCAAGUCGAGCGGAUGAAGGGAGCUUGCUCCUGGAUUCAGCGGCGGACGGGUGAGUAAUGCCUAGGAAUCUGCCUGGUAGUGGGGGAUAACGUCCGGAAACGGGCGCUAAUACCGCAUACGUCCUGAGGGAGAAAGUGGGGGUUCUUCGGUCCUCACGCUAUCAGAUGAGCCUAGGUCGGGUUAGCUAGUUGGUGGGGUAAAGGCCUACCAAGGCGACGAUCCGUAACUGGUCUGAGAGGAUGAUCAGUCACACUGGACCUGAGACGCGGUACAGACUCCUACGGGAGGCAGCAGAGGAGAAAAUUGGACAAUGGGAGAAAGCCUAAUCCGACCAUGCCGCGUGUGGGAAGAAGGUAAGCGGAUUGUAAAGCACUUUAAGUUGGGAGGAAGGGCAGUAAGUUAAAACCUUGCUGUUUUGACGUUACCAACAGAAUAAGCACCGGCUAACUUCGUG
RNAcentral lists this ribosomal RNA (484 nucleotides) under uncultured bacterium. RNAcentral's name for it is "partial 16S ribosomal RNA". It matches the Rfam family "Bacterial small subunit ribosomal RNA", at positions 30 to 507 of the family's 1533-position model. The record is from RNAcentral.